This is a long non-coding RNA of Cyprinus carpio carpio, 2778 nucleotides long. Lineage: Eukaryota; Metazoa; Chordata; Actinopteri; Cypriniformes; Cyprinidae. The record is from Ensembl.
CUACUUUCCACUUAAACAACAUGUGAUCAAGUUCCAGGACAUUUUACCUGACUUUUAUGUACUAUUUAUGUAAACACUGGAAACUUUGACGUGUUUUAAUGGGCGUGCAUUGAGCAUUCCAGUCGCAUUUAAACUGGAGCGGAGGGAGUUAACAUGGAAACGGGAAAGUAACUUUAGCAAAACUCCUUCUCUCAGUGUUGUUUUCACUGCUUUCAGGUAACUUUAGUCACUAAAAUCACAGAAAUAAUACAUACAACUCUUCCUGACAAAAAUCGUUUAGUGCUAACAAUAUAAGAGGUAGGCAAACUAUAGAUUUGAGCUCUUAUUAAUGAAAUUUUGGGCUUUUAAUCAUAUCUUAUUUGUAGAUGAGCGAUUUUGAUAGCUUUGUAAAUGUUUUGCUGGUAAUUUGUCAAUAGAUAAAUGGAAGUAAGCUAAUUAAUUUAACCUAAAAGUCUGCACUGUAGAGUCUAUCAGUGACGGCACUUACAUGCAGGCUAAAAUGGCCUGAAACUAUUUCAAACAUGUUUUGAUUUUUCAUGGUAAACAAAUAUUGAUUAAAAAAAAUGUACUGUGAUUUCAGAAGCAUCAGAAAAAAAAAAAGAAAACUCUAAAACAGAGGGGAAGUUCCAAGAAAAUUUCUAGUGGGAGCUGCUGACAGAGAUAUAGGAAACACAGGUAAUCUGAGAAAGCAUAUUAAAUAACUUCAUAUGCGUUUUAAGAUCUGUAAAAUCUCUUUUCUGCAUUUCACCUAUGCUCUAAUUUGUUUAUUUCUAAUAAACCUGACAUUGUAUACUAUUUAUUGUUGGCUCCAUGACAAAUUGUUUCUAUUUUCUUCCAUGCUGAUGGCCAUGCUGCAGAGCUGGAGAGGAUCUCCCGUUGAAGAACAUCCCCAAUACGCUAUGAACCAUCUGACUAGUGCAAAGAAUAGCAGCUCGGGUGGAGAAAUAUGCUGAUUAGUUAAUGUAUUAAUUAUUUAAAUCAUUUGAUAAACUUGUAAUUUAGAUUACAUUUUAUAUUGAAAUACUGCAUUGUAGGUUACAUUAUUGCUUAUAUUUAUUCAUUUCAGGUGCACCCAGUGGCUUUUGACUAUUUGAGGGUCAAAUGGUUGUGAAUUCAUACCUCAACUUUGUGCUGGGAUUGCAGUCUUAUUACAACUUCAGUCUGGCAUCCCGGGAGCAGGCAUUUUUUGCACACUUGAAUUUUUUCAAAGGUAACAUGUUUUACUUUUAUUUGAGAAAAAGUUACUUAUUUAGUUUAAAGGGUUACUCUACCCCAUAAUGAAGAUUUAAUCACUAAUCACUUACCCCCAUGUCAUCCCAAACAUGUAAAAGCUUCAUUCGUCUUUGGAACACAAUUUAAGAUAUUUUGGAUAAGAACCGGGAGGUUUGUGACUGUCCCAUAGACUGCCAAACAAUUAAAACUGUCAAAGCCCAGAAAAGUAUGAAAAGCAUCGUCAGAAUACUCCAUCUGAAAUCAGUGGUUCAACUGUAAUUUUACAAAGCUACGAGAAUACUUUUUGUACACAAAGAAAACAAAAAUAAUGACUUUAUUUAACAAUUUGUCUCCUCUACAUCAGCGUAGCACCAUUUUGGAGAGUAUCCACUGGAAGCAAACAUCGUACGCUGUUAUGUGUCAGCCGCACCACACGGAUACGCUGUUUUUAUUCAAAUCAAAGCAUAAAUAAACGUAGAAAGCAUAUCCGUGUGACCCAACUGACACAGAAUAGUGUAUGCAGUUUAUGUCCAGUGGAUACUCUCCAAAAUGGAGCUACGUCUUUAUUUUUGUUUUCUUUGCUUACAAAAAGUAUUCUUGUCGCUUCAUUAUGUUAUGGUUGAACCACUGAAGGUAGAUGGACUAUUCUGACGAUGCUUUUCAUACUUUUCUGGACCUUGACAGUGGUAUUUACUUGGCAGUCAAUGGGACAGUCUCAAGCCUCGCAGUUUUCAUCCAAAAUAUCUUAAAUUGUGUUCCAAAGACGAACGGAGCUUUUACGGGUUUGGAACCACAUGGAUAUUGCUGUAAAAUAAACUACAAGUUUAAUUAAAUGUUACUGCAAAAAAAAAAAAAAAAAUACUAAUCCAUUUUACAGCAAUUAACAUCAUUUUUACAUGAUUGUAUUGGCAACUUUAUCAAUGGUGUCAAAAGUAUUCACAUUCAUUACUCAAGUAGAAGUAUAGAUACUAGGGUUUAAAAUGACUUUUGUAGAAAUUGAAGUAUCAACUCAAGCUUUUUACUCAAGUAAAAGUGUAAAAGUACUGGUUUCAAAACUACUUAGAAGUAUAAAAGUAAUGUAAGGAAAAAAAUGCCAUUAAGAACAAAAGCUUAGGCCAUGCCACAGGGGCCUAUUGUGCACUACCCCACCUCCUCAAAAAACAUUAUUCUAAAGGCUAUAGGCCAUAAUGCCUAUAAUGUUAUAUUAAAAUAUUCAUGUUGAAAAAUUUGGGAUGCACUAGGCUACCUGUUUCAGCCGCAUAUAUGCCCAUUGAAAAUGAACACACUUUAGUAUAAUGCAAAUACAUUAAAGAGCACCUAUCAUGGAAUUUUUAAAUUUACCUUUCAUGUAGUGUGUAACAUAGAUCUAAGUGAACAAAAACAUCCUGCAAAGUUUGAAAUAUGACAGUGCACCGUAUAUAAAGUUAUUGUCUUUCAAAAGUAAGAGUCGACUCUGAGUCAUUUUUAUGAAUCGUUAGAAGACCGAAGCUUUUUCUCUGACUAGAUGACGUCAACUUGUCAAGUUAUUUGAAUACGAUACGCCCACUUAUUGCGCUCCAAGACGCC